RNAcentral lists this unclassified non-coding RNA (253 nucleotides) under uncultured Halomonadaceae bacterium. RNAcentral describes it as "contains 16S-23S intergenic spacer region". It matches the Rfam family "Bacterial small subunit ribosomal RNA", at positions 524 to 776 of the family's 1533-position model. The record is from RNAcentral. Lineage: Bacteria; Pseudomonadati; Pseudomonadota; Gammaproteobacteria; Oceanospirillales; Halomonadaceae.
UACGGAGGGUGCGAGCGUUAAUCGGAAUUACUGGGCGUAAAGUGCGCGUAGGUGGCCUGAUAAGCCGGUUGUGAAAGCCCCGGGCUCAACCUGGGAACGGCUUCCGUAACUGUCACGCUAGAGUGCAGGAGAGGAAGGUAGAAUUCCCGGUGUAGCGGUGAAAUGCGUAGAGAUCGGGAGGAAUACCAGUGGCGAAGGCGGCCUUCUGGACUGACACUGACACUGAGGUGCGAAAGCGCGGGUAGCAAACAGG